AUGGUGAAUAACCGUUCUGUGGUUGAACAAGCUCAUGAGAUACGGUGCAUUGUGAAGGAACUUGAACUCCUUAAAUGUGUUCUACCCGACAAAUUCGUGGCUGGGUGCAUGAUUGCAAAGUUGCCUCCUUCAUGGAGGAAUUUCGUCACAACUCUGAAGCAUAAGAGACAGGAGAUAUCAGUUGAAAAUCUGAUUGCAUCUCUUGAUGUUGAAGAAAAAGCUCGGGCUAAAGAUACCACUGAAAAAGGAGGUGAGGUUCAGCCUACUGCUAACAUGGUGCAGAGGUACCCACAUAACAAGAACAAAGGGAAGAACAAACCUGUUGUCAACAAGCCUACCAAGACUACUACCUUCAAGAAGAAGAAGUUCAACAAGGCUGAGCUAGAGUGCUACGCCUGUGGGAAGCCUGGACACUUUUCCAAGGAAUGCCCUGAACGUGCAGACCGCAGAGGGAAAACAAGCUCCAAGACUGUCAACAUGGUGACCGCUAGCAAUACUGAUGGUAUGGUCACAAGGGAUUCUUCCGUCCUAAUGGGGAAUGGGUCACAUGCUUCUGUUCGUGGCAUUGGCACGGCUAUGAGUGCGGAGGCUUGUUCCGCUUUUCUCUUUCAGAUUUUUGCAAUAAGUCACUAA
This 633-nucleotide ribosomal RNA is filed under the name Triticum aestivum (bread wheat). RNAcentral describes it as "partial small subunit ribosomal RNA". Lineage: Eukaryota; Viridiplantae; Streptophyta; Magnoliopsida; Poales; Poaceae. The record is from RNAcentral.